Molecule: long non-coding RNA, 411 nt
Filed under: Elaeis guineensis (African oil palm)
Lineage: Eukaryota; Viridiplantae; Streptophyta; Magnoliopsida; Arecales; Arecaceae
Description: long non-coding RNA (EGUI_LNC030608)
Source: RNAcentral
GCCCAGAUGUAUGAAUAGUAAGAUAAAUUUUUGAGCCAUUCAUACCAGCACUGACGUACCGAUCGAAGACCAUUAGAACAACGGUAGUCUCUUCUAAACAAGACUUAGUAUAAUAUAAUCAGACAACGAUCGUCCCUCCAAUCUUUCACAUAGCCUCAACCACAAGAUAUUUAAGCUUUGUGUCACACCUGAUCUGCAUUCUUUUUAUUUUCGUUUCUUCUCCAGGUAUAGGAACACCCAUGCAUGUACAUGACACGUAUAUACGGAUCAGGGUGUAUCUUUCACCAUUAAAACAUCUGCUGUUUGCUUUAAGAUAUGUGCAAAUAGAUGAAUGAUAAAGUUUGGAGAGCUUUACGAGCUGUGCGAUGGGUGAUCCAACUGUGACUUCGAGCGAUGGAAGGUGAAUAUACU